AUACGGAGGGUGCAAGCGUUAUUCGGAAUCACUGGGCGUAAAGGACGCGUAGGCGGGUUGGCAAGUCAGAUGUGAAAUCCUACAGCUUAACUGUAGAACUACAUUUGAAACUGCUAACCUAGAGUAUGAGAGGGGGAGAUGGAAUUAGUGGUGUAGGGGUAAAAUCCGUAGAUAUCACUAGGAAUACCGAAAGCGAAGGCGAUCUCCUGGAACAUAACUGACGCUAAGGCGUGAAAGCGUGGGGAGCAAACAGAAUUAGAAACCCUAGUAGUCC
This 274-nucleotide ribosomal RNA is filed under the name uncultured bacterium. RNAcentral's name for it is "partial 16S ribosomal RNA". It matches the Rfam family "Bacterial small subunit ribosomal RNA", at positions 523 to 796 of the family's 1533-position model. The record is from RNAcentral.